UCCUCUCUCUCUUUCUUUCUUUUCUGUCUUCCUUUCAAUGUGUGGUGGGGUGAGGAGGCCUGCUAAUGAAUGAGAAAGGAAUCCUCCGCUCUUUCUCUGUCCAUUUCCCCACCCCACCCCCUCCUCCCCGUCUGCUCCUUUCAGGCUGGCUGUUGGGACAGGAGGCUUCCAGGGUUCACACCAUCUUCCACAUAAUAGGGUAGCAUUUUACACCCAUCCUCUGCCUGGCAGGUGGCAAUGACGUCAUGUUUGAAGUCAGCCCAAGAAGCUGAUGGAGCCCCCCUGCCUACUCCACUUCUGACAAGCCAGUUCAUGGAUGCUGUCCACAGAUUUUUUUCAUUGCUGGUGGUUUAAUGCUCUCUGUAGCCUUGUAAUGAUUCAACCAGACAGAGGAACCAAAGUCGAUCAGUCCAUGACUAAUAGGGACUCUCCGGUCCCAGGCUUCACCACAUUCUGAGCAGCCAACAGGUGCCACAUGGGAUGCAAGCAUCAUGUGUAAGACAGCAAGAGUCUGCAGCAGCUUGAAGCUCCAUCUGGCUAAUGGAGAACACACUCUUGGGGUACGUAUUGGUUCCUAACUCUCGUCUUCCCUGGACCGACAGCUGGGGUGAGAUGCUUUGCUCAGCCUGCUGAGCCACCAGCAAUCUGGAAGAUUUCUCUCUGACCUGAGAAGGCUGGAUUUCCUACUGAGAGUCUGCAAAGUGACCCAUUGUGAUGGAGCCACAUCCACCAGCAACGAAUGACUGUCCACUCAUGGCUGAGUCAAAGGUCUGCUGGUAAACCCUUUCCUUUUAAGAAACCCCCAUUAUCAGGAGGACACUCUAUGAGGAUUGGACUUGUGACUCCAGGAGCAGUUUCCCCUCGGGUUCACUUAAGGUAGAAUGGGAAGCACUUAGCUAAUUGCUGGAAGAUUCCUUCUCUAUUAAACUAAGAAAGAGCAUGAGGUAGCUGACUCAGCUCUGCUUAAUGGCUUUGGCUUGGUCACUUUGUAACUCUUCUGAGUUAGGAACUUCAGCUAUGGCUGGAGAAUCAGCUCAGAUGGUAAAGGGCUGGUCUUACAAACAUGAAGAUCUGAGUUCAGUGCCCAGAACUCCCAGUAAAUGCUCCAAGUGGGCACUUGCAACCUCAGCUCCAAGGAGAUGGAGACAGGCCAGCUGCUGUCUGGGUCUCACUGGCCAGUCAGCCUAAACUUGAUGAAUUCUAGGACACAGAGAGACUCUGUCUCAGGGGGUGAUAAAAAACGAGGGCAACAAACUUAAACUCUGAGAUAUAUAUAUCACUCAAAGUUGUCUUUUAUCUGCUACACAUGUGAAUCUACAGAUGAACAGGAACACCCUCCCCCCAGCACACUCCCCUACAUGCAUGAAUCUAUACAUACACACAUGGCAGCAAGCACACACCACACACUACACACACACACACACAGACACACACACUAAAAUAUAAUAGACCCCCAAUUUUCUCUGUAUAAUCCAACCUAAACUCCUAAACUUCUCAGUCUUAAGAAUUUAGACAUGAGCUUUCCUGAGGACCUGCACACUCUAUAGUUUAUCUCUUUGCUAAUUUUUAUUUCUACAUUUUUUUUCCACUGGGCCUCCCCGAGUCUGAGUCCAUGGUCCCAACAUUCAUGUAAAUGGGUUUUUAGUUCAUGAAAGGAACUUUGCACAGAAAUUGAGGAUAUGUCCACAUUCAAACCCAAAUACCAGUUCUUGGUAGGGGAAUCAUGAGAGAAUAUGUAUUUAAACCACAUAUACCCUGAACUUUUUUUUCUUACACAAAAAGGUUACUAGUUUUGUAAGAUAUUUUUAGGAAUAAAGUAAGUAUUCAGUUAGCAUGUACAUACAAAUCUUCUGGUACAACACCUGGCCCCCAAACAGCACAAAACCAGAGAAGUUCAUGCUUUUCCCACCAUGACAGGUCUUGAGGACACCUGCCUACCUAUACAAGAAAUGACUCCCUUAUCUAACCACCCAGGGCACAAGCCUGAAGUGUGAGGCUCAGCAGCCAUCUCUAGAGUACACGACAUUUCCUCAGGUCUCCCAUGCACAUAUGCCCAGUGGGAUGUCUGGACAGAAUAUUUGUUCUCACAUCUUUUUAACACAUACAUUAUUAGAUGACUACAGCUCUCCCUAUCAGAGUCUAAAGCAGGAACUUCAUAAGGCUGUGAGCUAAAUAACUGGUGUUCCUAGUACAAAAGGGCACAGGCCUUUCAAUUUCUGAUAAAUAUGUAAACACAGCAAUUUUAGUCAUUAGUAGAGUGUGCUGGCUAGUCUUAUGUGAACUUGACACGCAGAGUAAUCUGGAAGGAGUGAAACUUAAUUGAGAAAAAUGCCUACACAUGAUUCAGCUGUAAGGUAUUUUCUUAGUUAUUAAUGAGAGAGGGACCAGCCCAUUAUGGAUGGGGCCACCCCUGGGCUGGUGGUCCUGGCUUCUAUAAGAAGGCAGACUGAGCAGACAAUAGGGAGCAUGGGGAGCAAGCCAAUAAGCAGCACCCCUCCAUGGCUCUGCAUCAGCUCCUGCCUCCCGAUUCCUGCCCUGUGUGAGUUCCUGUCCUGACUUCCUUUGGUGAUGAACAGUGAUUUGGAAGCAUUAAGCCAAAUAAGCACUUUCCUCCCCACUUGCUUUUUGGUCAUGGUGUUUCCUUGCAUCACUAGAAACCCUUACUAUGACAUAGUGCUUUACAUAGAGCUAGCUUUCAGUAACAUUUCUGAUAUAGUGGUAAGAAGAAAUGGACAAUAUCCAUAGUCCACUGAUCUCCCACUUCUUCUAGUUCCCAAUUAUGGUUGAUAACAACAUGCUCAGACUCUGGAACUGAAAGAGUGUCCUAGCUUUUACACGUUACUCCAUCCAGGGAUGGUCUGUAUCCCUGAGCAUGUGUUUUUGGUUCUAAAAGUCAUUUUUAUUUUUGUGGAUGUUUGAGUUAGAUAGGGUGGUCUUUUGAAAUACAUAUAGAAAUCACUAGGACAAGCAAGCACUAGAGAUGCCUGUACUAUUACUUGGUCUCCUGUUGUACCCAUGAGUCACAGGAAUGCACAGUAUUUGAUGAUUUGUCAAUAGCUACAGUUCAUAUGCUAGAAGCUAUCAGUCUAGGCUUGGCCAUUUGACCCAGCGGCAACAAGACACCAUCUUCCCAUCUUCUUCUAAUCCUAGCUUUGUAGCUGACAUUCUCUCUAUUUUAAUGUAUGUAAUGAUGGAUGUUGAUAUCCCAUAUGCAUCUCAAUCUAGUCUUUGCAAUCUGUGUGUGGUUCAUUGCACUUAAUAAAGAGACCCUCUAUGCUGAUGCAUGUUCUUGCAGAUGGCAACUUUCCUGCCUUCUUUAAGGGUGACUAAUACUUAACUGCAUGUCUUCACUCCAUGACCUUGCCACUCCUUCUUGUAUGAGAGUUGUUUUCAUAUAUUGGCCAUUAUGAACAGUUUUCAACCUUGUGAAUAAUGGUGAAAUAAUACUUUGUAUUUAUGGAAGCCCAUAUUUCUCUAUAAUUUUUCCUCCAAACACUUUUCCUAAAUACUAUUUCCCUGAAGCCACAUUCUUCUACCCAACUGAACCUGGACAAAAAUUUAAUACUUGCCAACAUCUUCCUAAUUGUUUCCAACUCUAAAAUUCUAUUAUGGGAAUGGCUAUUCACAGCAAUACAUUACAGUUUAACACAUAUUAAGCCCUUACUCCAUGUGGUCCUUGUACUUAGUGCUCAUGGUGUUCAGCUUGCAUCUGGAUGUGACUGUUGUGGAAAACACACCCAGCAGAUGGUAACAUAUUGAGGAACUGGGUAGGGCUCAGAUCAAAGAGGACUCAUGCUAUUGGUCUUUUGUGCCUGUUUCUCAAGAGUUCUAAAAAUGUGAGUUAGCCUGAGUAUUUUAAUAAAUGUAAAUCAUGCAUUGUGAACAUAUACUUAAAAGACAUGUAAUUUUCUUCUUUUAUAGCAAAAGGCUACAAAAAAUACGAACCACGGUACUCCCGUCCAUGCAUGACUUGAUGGUUUUCCCUAAGAUGUGCUAUCCUUCUGUCUCUGCCCUUUUCUCUCCUCUCUUCCCCUUCAAAUGACGAAGACUCAUUCAGUUUGCCUCCAAGCUUUCUCAUUUCAACUGUCCUAUUUAUACCCCUGAGCCAAUUGGAAUGGAAGAAAGGGUGGAGGUUAUUUUUUUCCACCUGUUCCAGGAACAUGUGUUCGAAGAAUGAAUUUUUCCCCUCAUUAAAUCACCAUGGCAAUUUUCCAGGAAUUCUUAUUUUAAUAUCAACUAAGGAAGUGCAUGGUUUCUAUCUGAAGGUAAUGAAUUCAAUAAGGUUUUCAAAUACUUUUAAUUUUAUUAUUUAAAAUUGCCUAUAUUGGAAAUUUAGUUUGCACAGAACUGUGAAACAUGAAUCAGUCUAGAAUGUUUCAUCUCUACAUGUAGCUCACCAAUAUAUGCACACUUUAUAUGCUGGAAUCUCACAGAGUAGGCCUAUCUUCCCAGGGCUUACUCCAACGGAGCACAAUGAAGGGGUCUAGAGAAAGGAAUCCCUUCCAGGUAAGCUCAGGAAAUAUGGGUAUAUGAGUGAGAGCUGAGACUAGAGAAAGAGCAAGUCAACGGACCCCAGUGGACAUGAGGCCUUGGGGAAGCAUAGUGGCUAUCCAGAGUUGUCUUGACCUCCACUGCCUCCUCUCCUUACUCCGGGAAGCAUUAGCUCUGUGUGUGUGGUCUGUAGCCCAGGCCGCUCCAGGGGAGCUGAGACCCUCUGGCUGAGGACAUGGGCAACAUCGUCUUCCAAGUGUGAGGAAGACUCUUGGCAAAGAUACAAAAAUGUCCCAGAGCCCACAGUAUAAUGUUGCAUAGUGGUGGGCCCCCAAGCCUUCCAGUACAGUGUGGGAAAGUCAUGUCAUCCUAGGAGAGUGGGCAUAUUGGUCUAGAUUUAUGGAAUGGAUCUCAGAAGGACUAUGGUGUAAGCCAUGUGGCAAAUGGUGAUGUGUGCAGUAGGGGUGUCUUGCGUGACAUCCGACGAACAAACCAAGCAGCAGCUCGUCUAGAAGGUUCCUGCCUCUUCUGAGUCUUCCUCCAGUUCAGAGGGCCACAGUAGGUGGCAAAGGAGAUUUUCAUACAUCUUCCCAAUGGUUAUUCCUGUUAGAGGAAUAGCAGAGUGUUAUAGAGGACAGAUUGUUGGGCUCUGCAUCCUAAACCCAUGGGGACACAGGUACACACAGGCAGAAAAUAUGAAAUCAAUUAAUUACAGAAACCAGCAGAGGGGAAAAAAACAGAACAAAACAAAACAUAACAAAACACCAAGCAGAAACAAUGGGUCAAGACAACGUCCUGGUGCUGUGCUGAGACAUCCUGUUACUCCUCGGGCAGCUGCCGAAUCAUCACAGAGCUUCAUUCCAUUGACUACAAUACCAAUGUCCUUAGAGAGCCAACAGACUACCAUAGCAGAUAAUGAUUACUUUUAUAGUAAUUGAUUUAUCUUCAUUAACUUAUUUUUGACCUAAGAAAUUCACUUACAGUUGCAGUAUCCCAAACAGAUACACAGUACUGCAAUUUGGGGUAUAUAUAGAAAAAAUUCUACAAAGAACAAUAUGGAAACUGUGAAGAGACAGAGCAAGGAAGGAGUUGUAGUGUCUGUAUCUGACCAGGUGUUCAAGGCUUACUUGGGCUCAGUAUUCUACUGUUGCAUUCAGAUGGCUCCUGAGGCCAACCCUGCUGUACCCCAAAUGUUAUGAGGGUUGAUGUUAAGGUGGGGUUGGUGGGAAACGGCAGGACCCUGCUGGACUCAUAGCUAAGACCGUUAGGUUGUGGUAGGAGCCCAUUUGUGUGUACCACUAUUGAUUCUGAAGGGAGGAAAGGGGUCCUUGGGAGAAGGCAGCACAUUAAAAGUGGUAUCUGAAGAGGUUCUCUGUUAAAGAGGAGCUGAGAUGGCUGCUUCUCAAGGUAAGGGCCUAUGUGUUUUGCUCAGAGCAGCUUCUUUUUUGUUGCCUGUCUCCUGGUAUCCUCUGCUCAGUCUUCCAUGAGUGAGACAGCAAGUGGUUGGUAGCAUUAGCCAGCAGAGUCCGAGUACAGCUUCCUACAGAAAGUCUCUGGGUUCUUUUGCACAUGGGUGGAUGGAGAAGGCUUUUGAAAGGAGGUCAUCACAAUCAACCCAUAGUAAAGACACAAGCUCCUCCCCCAUUUUUAGUUUUACCUGAUUCCAUUUCCACAGGGAACAUCUUCAGAGAUGACAGAAAGGAAAUCAAAUGGCUUAGCUGAAGUCAGGGUCUCCUUUUGUCCACUGAAUUAUAAGUGUCCAUGUUAGAGUGCCUCACGUCACUUACUUCCCAACAUCCCUCCACAGUCAUUCAGCCCAAGACAGGCUGAGGGCAAUUACUGAAGAGGUUGGUGAAAGUUGAGACAUUUGGUAUGGUGUUAUUGGGGAAUAGUAAGAGUAUAAUGGCCUUAGUGAUGCAAACAGUUUUAUGACAAUCCACUUAAACAGGGUAUGCUCAAAGAAGGCCUUGAAGUAUAUGCAUUUGUUAGGUUUGUCGUUUCCAAUGCUGUAGCAGAAAAUGUCUGAAAGCAACUUAGGGAACAAGGAGAGAGGGGCUUGCUCUGACUCACGGUUUGAGGAUGUAGUUCAUUGUGGAGGGGGAGGGGAGGGGCAGGAGAGGCAUGUGAAAAAGCUGAUCAUGUUGCAUUCAUAUUCCAGAGAAAGGGGCAUGCUGGCACCCCAGCCCACAGGAUGGUGUCUAUGUGAACUGAGUUUUUCAAUCAGUGCUGACUCAGCCUUGACAUUUCUUCAGAGGCCGAGAUGUUUGUCAAGGAGGAGAUAGCAUAUCCCAUGAGGUUGCUGAUCAAUAUUAGCUACCACGUGGGUAUUUAGAAAUUCACACAAAAGGAAAUCUUCUUUUUUAAAAAAUUAGGUCAAAUCUUCAAGGACUUCCAGAAAGAUUUCCAAUGUGACUACUUUUGGACUGUAUAGCAAAACAAACAAACAGACAGACAGACACACAGACAGACAGACAGACAGACAGACAGACAAACAGACAGACAGAAUCCCCAAGAACCUCAUAGAUCCAGAAUCCCCCAACCCAGUGUUGUAUCAGACACUUACAUAUGGCACAGCUGCGACUGAGAAGAAGUGCACAUAUUCCUGAGCUCUGUGAGUCUGAGGACCUUCCUAUCUAAGGUUUUCCCAGGAGACUGAUAAAAGUAGGCACAUGCGUGUCUGUCUGAACGUAUGCCCUGUUAAUAUUUGAUAUAUUCUAGAGAUACAAACAAGUGGUUAAGAUAUUCCAGAGCUUUCUGUUGGACUUGUCGUUUUGAAUGUGGUUUGAGGUGGUCUCAGGAAGUAUAUUAAAUGGAGUCUUUGCAUGCAUACAUCCUCUGUAAGCACAUGACUUCUCUGUCUGCUCUUGAGUUUAGAGACAUAAUUCAGCAGAUCUUUGCUGCUUCCUUCCAAGAAAUCUAAUCAAACCGGUAGUGGGAAGAACCAAUAUGGUUAGGGUCUGCUAAGGAAGAAAAUAUAUUCAGAAUUUUGCCUCCAGGAUCAAAUAAAUAGAUUUUCUUAUUGUUGCUGCAAUCUGAUCUCCAACGUAUAAAAUGAGGAUAAAAUAAUAAAAAUAAAAGACAUAAAGUACAAAACAGCAGAGUAAAAACAUGAAACAGUCCAGAGGAGUGGGGGCGGGGGAGUAUUUCUUGGUGACAUUUCCUCAGAUAAUAAUGGAAAAAAAAAAGAGGUCUAAUGUUUACCCAGCUCAGCUUCCUGCCAGCUUCCCUAGGGAAUGAAAUCUCUCUCCCCCCCACGGGUGGUACUUACUUUGCUGCAUAUGUAUCGACAUGAGAUUGCCUACAGAGGGAUCACAGCUUGGGGCAAGCUUUGUGGAGGAUGAAGGUGAGCAAAUACUUCUCUGUGCUAAACUGUAUUUCCUUCCAGUGAAGUUCCCAUUCCAAAAUGUAUCCCGACUAGCUGGGCCAGUCAAGCACAAACAAAACCCCGAAUAAAACAAAGCCUUCAACGUUAAUUUCGACUUGCCAUUCCUCACUGGGUAACCUUCACUCAGCUCUCUCCUCAUCGAAGGGUUUUGUGUGAAAACAAGAUGACCGCCUCUGUGCCUAUUUACUCCCAACAGGCAUCGAGAUGGGAGCUUGCACCAAAAGGAGAUGGGAAGAUUCUGAGAACUGAGAUUCAUUAAAUGUUUCUCUCCACUCCAGGAAGGAAUUACAUGCAAACGUCUUUUAUGUUUCAGGGAAACUAAAAGCAGAGAAAGGGCAGCCUCUGUCUGGACACAGCACAGUGAGAUGCCAAAUAGACCUCUGACUUCUGAGACUCCAGAGCCAUGAGUUAAGUCCCAGUUGCUCUAAAUUGCCUACACCCAGAGUACAGAUGUGCCAAUAGAAAAAUUAACUUGAACUGGUAACUACUACAUAAGAGCCUUCUGAAAAGGUUGGGCUAGGAUGAUGAAGGGUUGGGAGUUUGCAAAUAAAGGUAGCAAAGAUACAUGUAGUGGGAGUUCCAUGGUUGGAGCAAGGUACUGAAACAGGACACACUGGGAACAAAUGGAAGGCUAAGCAUGACUGAUGGCUUGUGUGUGUGUGUGUGUGUGUGUGUGUGUGUGUGCGCCCACGCACGCACAAUGUGACCCAUGCAAGAGCACAAGUAGGAAUAUGUUGUUUAACAGUGCCUACUCCCGGUGAUCAGGUGGGAUGCGUCUUGAUUGGUCACUUGCUCUUCCCAGCUUAAGCACAGGACCUUAAUCUCUCUAAAGAUGAUAAAGCAAAAAGCAACCAAACCAGAGACUUGGAUUAUGCUUCAAAGACCCCAAACUGACAAUCCAGAAAGGGCCAAGAUUACAGGUGUGUACCACAAUACCAGGUUGUGCACACUGAGGAUGGAAUUCAGGGAAGUGAGCUUGCUGGGUAGAAAUCUACCAACUGAACUACAGCCCAUCUGCCUGCCAGCCUUCCUUUCCUUUGUGAAAUUAUGGUAUUAAUUCCAAAGUAUAAUUUAAUACCAUUUAAAAUGUUAAGCACAUCCAUGAGAAACAUCAUAAGAAGAGAAAAGCAGAUACUGAGAUGUCAGAUGCUUAACUAAUUUUGUUGUAUAAAUAACAACUAAUCAUUAUCAUUGUUGUGUCAAGUCAAUGUAUACAUCUAUAUAUUUACACUUUCUCCAUGUGAGUGCUUACCUAAUUCUCUUCUUCUUCCUUCCUCGUCUUCCUUCUCACUAUGAAGCUGAGGCUGGCUCUGAGUUUGACUCUUAGGAGCUCCUGAGUGUUAGGAUCACUGGGUUUACUCCAACCACUGGUUUACUCUAAACUCCUCAAAAGUAAGAAUAAACACUUGAAGUAGUCUAAAGUGGAGACAGAGAAUGAUUUCCAAGACACUUCUGAAUAGUCCAACUUAACCCCAGUCCUGGGUUCUAGACCAACUUCCUACCUAACUUCUAGGACCCUCUUUUCCUUGAUGUCAAGGUCUGCAUGGGGGGACUGGAAGAAAAGGUAGUGGUAGGUUCUUUAAUAUACUCUCACAGCCUUGCUGUGGGCAGAUGAGGGGUAAGCCUCUCUGAGGCUUAAGGUGAUGUCACUAUUGUCUAUGAACUUUGGAAUGCCCUGGUGAGGGAUGGACACUGGACAUCUUUCUGAAAGGGGUGUUGGAGAAAUGUGCUUCUAAGCAUAAGAGAAGCAAUUCUCCUAUGUGAGUUGGGACCCCUUUGGAGGGGGUCUAAUGACCCUUUUGCAGGGCUUGCUUAAGGCCAUUGAAAUGACAGAUAUUUAUAUCCUGAUUCAUAACAGUAGCAAAUUUACAGUUAUGAGGUAGCAAUGAAAAUAAAUUUUAUGGUUGGGGGGGGUCACAACAACAUGAGGAACUGUAUUAAAGGGUCACAGCAUUAGGGAGGUUAAGAAGCACUAAUAUAAAGUCAUGAGUUGUUAACGUAGGGGCUACAUGUCCUAAGAAUUGUUUCCGUGUCAGCACAGCCAGAGUGAAAUGGAAGUGAAAUCAGUCUACCAGGGAAGAGGCUAGAGGGAUUAGCAGGAAGUUGAGGGCUUUGCAUGGUAGGCUAAGCAGCUUUGUCUUAACUCGGUGCCCUAGUAGCCUUCCAUUGAGAAUUGGAGGCUCUCUGACAAUUGGUACUUAGUAUCAGUGACAUAUAUUUCAAUAAGAGAGUCAUAAGACUAAUUAAAAGCAUUUAUCAGUGCUCUAGCCAACAGGAAGAGUCAAAGCACGACUUCCCUAAGCUGUAAGCCAUUUCGUGGUUUAGAUCCCCAGGGGCUAAUUAAUACCUUGUGAAGAAAGGAACCAAGAAGCAAUCCUGUGUCCCUUUGGAAGGUGUCAAAAUUUCUGCCAAGAGCUAAGUUCUGUAGUGGUGACAUCUUUUUGCUGUGGACAGAUGUGCAUACUAUCCAAAGGCACACACAGGUCUUUAUGCAUGGUAUCUAAAGCAUACAUGGAUCAACAUUCACACUAUAAAAAAGCAUUUAGGAGCCUACAUGUGUUCAAUAUAGAGGCAUACACAGAUUUACAAGCUUGCUACACAGAGGCAUGCAUGAGUCUAUAUAUGUUCUACAUAAAGGCAUUCAUAGGUCCCUACGCAUACUGUACAACAGCAUCUGUCUAUUUCAAUGCUGAAGAACUCCAAAGUGCCCUGUGUUAUAUCAACAAUGCUGGUGGCUAUAGCACACAGCCCUGGCUUGUCAGUAAUUUAAGCAAGCCUCAUGCCUAGCCAGAUUACACAUAGCUUGUCAAUCCAGUGUCACCUGUGUAAGGGUCUGCCGGAAAUCAUUCUAACCUAUUCCUUGAUUGUUCUGGGACAGGUGUCCUGGGUUGCAAAGCCCUUAGACCGCUAUGGGCUCCCUCACAGUCCCUCUGUUCAUGUGCCCAUGCGUCAGGGCUGAUGUGGAAGGCACUGGAGGCUUGACUAACUGUGUGCAUUGGAAAGGGCCUUUAGCUGAUUUGGUCUUUCAAGGUAUUUUCUGGAAGGUGUUAAUGUGAGAUGCAAACCUGUCUUAAAGCUGCCCACUCUUAUAUGUCCCUUCAGAUACCUCUAUCCAGAUCACUUUGUUCCCAGUCUUUAAUCUGAUACCAAAUGAUGAGACAGAUUAUUCUGUUCAACUUAAAAUUCAGUGUUCAUGGGAUUGAGUAUUUGUAUUGCAAAACUAUAUUAAGAAUCCUAAGAUAUCCUGCCAUGCUCAUAGAUCAGUGCCUGGCCCAAUCAUUAUCUAAGAGGUUUCUGCCAGCAGCUGAUGUGAGUAGAUGAAGAGACCCAUAGUCAAACAUUAGGUGGAGCUAGGAGAAUCUUGCAGAAAAGAGGGAGGAAUGAUUGUAGAGUCAGAGGGGUCAAGGACAUGAGGAGAACAUGGCCCACAGAAUCAACUUAGCAGGGCUCAUCAGGACUCAGAGACGGAAGCAGCAAUAACAGAGCCUGCAUGGGCCUACACUAGGUUCUCUGCUCAUGUUAUUGUGGUAUGGUUUGGUGUUCUGUAAGACUCCAAACAGUGGGAGUCUGGGUUGUCUCUGACUCUUUUGCCUACUCUUGGAAUCCCCUUUCUCCUACUAUGCUGCCUCAUCUAGUCUUAAUAUGAGGAUUUGUGCCUAGUCUUAUUACACCUGGUUAUUCCAUGUUCAUUUGAUAUCACUGGGAGACCUGCUUCUUUUUGAAGGUAAAUGGAGAAGGAGUGGAUCUAGCAGAGAGGGGAAAUGGGGGUGUCUGGAAAGAGUGGAGGAGGGGAAACCGUUAUCAGGAUGCAUUGUAUGAGAAAAGACUACAAAAAAAUGGAAAAAAAAUACUGAAUGUGGGCUGAAAAUAUAUCUCAGUGAGUGGAGUGUUCACCCUGGCUCAGCCUCCUGCGCUGUAGAUGCUAGUUGUGACAACAGUCACCUGUAACCCCAGUACUUGGAAGGUACUAGAGCAUCAGACACUGUCAAUUAGCUAUGCAGAGAGUUUGAAGCUAGCCUGAGUUACAUGAGACCUUAUCUCAACAAAACAAAGCAAAACAAAACUAAGCCCCAAAACAAGACAUGUUAUUUAAUGUUUGUAAUGGUUAGCUUUAUGUAUCAUCAUGGGUAAUGGAUGUCUAGAUCUCUGGCUGAAUGUUACUCUGGGUGUGUCCGCUCCUGGUGAGAUGGAUACUUCAUUCUGUAAUCCCAGUAGAAUGCACAUGAGCGCCAUCCAAGGUGCUAAGAGCCAACAUAGCAAGGCAGAGAUAGGGAUGAUCAGACCUCCAUGUCUUGGCUGGAGCUCAUAUACUGAUCACAUCUGGAUGCUGCUGUUUCUAGAGACCUCACCAUCAGCUCUAACAUCUACUCUCAUGGACACCAGUAUACAGAGUCAAGGGGUUUUCAGGCUCUACCAUUCAGUAAGCCUGUCUCUCCCAUUGACUGCCUCGCUGUAGAUUUCAUAUUAGCUCUAGAGAAAAGAGGGUAAAAGCUUUUGAUAAAAGUUUACACUGCAAGGCCUUGAUUUCUAUUUCUCUUACUCAUUUAAGUCUGUUUUUACAAACUGGUGUUUCCUCCUUGAUUAUAUCUGUUUCUUGCUACAUCUUGCUAAGCCUAACCACCCCCACCCCCAAAAAAGAACUUUCAAAGUGAUACACACAGCUGAAUAACUGAGUUUCAACAUGGAGGGAAGAUUUUCUAUAAUUGCAGUGGACAAAAUAAUUAAUAAUUCAGAGCUUGUAUGGAAAUUCUAAAACCAAUAAGAAAGGCAUAAGCUCAACAGAACAACAAAGAGGGAUCUUAAAGAAGACGAGAGAGAUUGAACAAGUCUGCAAAGACAGAAGGCAAGUCUGUCGUGGUCAAGAAAACAUUGAGUCAAGAGAUGCAGAAAUAUCCUGCCCAUUCUAUUACGAUGUAAAGAGAUCACAAGAGUAUAUUGGCCCCAGGACUCUAAUAAUGUAAAAAUCUGGAAAGGAUUUAUACACACACACACACACACACACACACACACACGCAUAUGUAUAUACAUAUUUUUACUGACUUGAGUUUCCAUUAUGCCAGCCAACACUCUACCACCAAGCUAUGCCCUGGCAACAAUCUUGAAGAAGAAGACAAGUGAACCACAAUACACUUUGUACCACUCAAACUGAGUUAAUAUCAUUGAUAAACAGACAUAGAGCUAAACCUUAGCAAUACCAUUUUAAACAGACACAGUGAUCCUGAAAGGCUGUGUAUGCCAUAUAUUGUGAAUUUAAGAUCACUAAGAUAAAAACACAUGAAAGUAUUUAUGUAUUAAAAUCCUGCCAGCAAGUCCGCCCAAGAACAGUGAGCAUGAUGCCCGAGUGCUGCCUCCACAGGGACUGCAAAGCACAGGAGCAGGAGAUGGAAUGGUGGGACCUGGCUUGUGUUCCAAGUCCUAGCAUCUGUUUUUCAUGGCAGGCUUCUGCAUACUUAUGAAAAGACUCUAAAUAAAUAAGUUGACAAACAAAUAACAUGGUCUGUGUGUGGACCCCUGUGCUCUUGCGAACCUCAGUGAUUAAUCUGCAAUCUGGGUGUAUGCACUUGACAUUCAGAAAGUAGAAAAGAAGAAAGAACAGGAGGAAAGAGGGAGAGAGGGAGUGAAGAGGGAGAGAGGGAGGAAAGGAGGCAAGAAAAUUAUUUUAGUGCUCUGAGCAGGAAACUCCAGCUCUCUAAGAAUGGUGAAAUUAGUCUUGCUUCACGUUUGUUUCUAGCUAUGUGCCUGGAUGCCAGCAGUCUGGUGAUGCAGUCAUUUCUACUAAUUUCUUAGAGGAAGGAAGAGUGAGCCAGGAAUACUACAUACCCAACAAGGGAAAAAUGUUCUUACUAUAAAAAGAACGCCCCUUAAAGGCGAAGGGCGCAAAGGAUGUAGAGGAAACCCCAUAUGUUCUCUUUAGAAAAAAAAAAAAAAAGCUCUGCUUAAUAAGUUUAACUUAGCCAUAAAGACAGAAUGACCCACAGAAGGCUCCUUAGUACUGCUCAAGGACAGAGUAAGUACUCUCUAUGAGACUGUGGGGGGAGCAGACCCAGGAUCCUCCCCCAGACUGAGAGUGGGGCCCACAUGUGAGAGCACUAUAUGGGUAAGGGGUGUCCACACAGCAUAACCACUAAAGAUGGUAGUCAACAAAGAAAUGGCCAGAAUGAGGCUUUUUUUGGGGGGUGGGGGGAAAUUAACUGAACUUAACUUUGAUGUAGGGCAAACUAAAUAUAACUUCAACCUCAGGCGUCAAGGAAGGGGUGUGUGUUAAUGCUGUUUCCUUCACUAGGUUCAGCACAUUGGAAACCCACCCUGUGUAAAAUUGAGACAAAGAUUCAAAUUGAAACGUGACGGUGGCAACCACUGCCUGUUUUACAUAAGCACGUUUAGAACACUGAACGUCUGUUCUGUAGGCAUAUGUUGAACAAAAAAAAAAUUGGGAGAGAGUAGCCCAUUCUAUGAAUUGCCUUAGUGGUAUUAGGUUAAAAUGGAAAGAAUUUAAUAUUUUUAUAAAAAUAAUGUACCAUAAUCCCAUUUUCAGAAAAUGUCUCAGUCUGCCGGUUUAUCUACUCUUUCCUCACUAUUGAUAUCAGUCCACUUGCCUAAUGCAAAUGGAGAUGAAGAUGUUAAAAUGGUACGCAGAGGUACAAGUGUGGACAAGGAUGGGUAUCCUUGAUGGGCUUGGCCACACCCAUGAGCACACCCAUGAGCAGAGAAGUAUGUGGGGAUGUGCCACACUAGAGGGGGGGGGGAAGCUUGUUUUCAUUUACAUAUUAGGGAAGAUAGAGAUGGCUCCAUUAGUAAAGAGCUUGCUUUGCAAUGUUAGGAACCUGAAUACGGUCCAUGCUAAAAAGAGAAAGGAAGGAGAGAAAAAAAAUCCAGGUGUGAUGUUGUUUAGACAGCAUCCCAACCCUGGGGAAGUGGGGGCAGAUGUACGUUCCUGUGGUUCAUUCAUUGGCCUGCCAGUUCAACCUACUUGUGAGUUCCUGGCUUCCCAGAAACUCUGACUUAAAAAAAACAAAACAAAAAAGAACAGGACAGGGUGAGGAAUGACACCCAAAUUUGUCAUCUGCCCUUCAAAUCCAUAUGCAUCUUUGUGGGCUUACAGAUCCUGUUCUGAACAACUAUAAACUUAUACAUGAAGCUGGUACAAUUUAUUGGAAAACUGAACCAACAAUGUAAGACUAUUCAGUGUGCAUAAUCAAUUAGACAGAAAGGCUUGCAACAUUUUUAUUCACACUGUGGCUCAUACGCAAAAUGACUGGUAAUAUAGUGUCACCCACAACAGUUGUGGCAUCGUUUUAUCUUAAGCAGAUUCCAUAACCAAUAUGUCAGAUGUCAAUAUUUACAAAAUAAGCAAUACAUGCACGUAAGUAUGUCUCAAAACAGUAGAAAAUGAGAAAAUAUUAAGUAUUUUGAACAACUCAGGAGAAUAUGGGGUUUUCUUCUCCCAUGGCUGUCUGCCCCAGUUAGACCCAUUUUUUGGAAGCUGUUCAAUCAAUUCUCAAGAAAUGUUCACUUACAUCAACCAAAAUCUGCUGACAAAGGCAGAUGCUAAAAUCUCACACAAUUCUGGUUAAGAAUUCCCUCAAAUUAAAAUUCGUAUUGUAGGUCUUUACCACACCUUUAGGAGUCAACCUCUUCAGUCCUUAGACUGAGACGGAGGUCUUUCUAUGACUGGACAGAACAGGCUUUGAAUUCUUUUUCUAUUUCCAUCUCACCCCUUUCUUACUCUGCUUCCAAAGAAGCUUUGGUUGUAGUCACAAAGUUUGUUUGUUUUUA
Mus musculus (house mouse) is the source of this 15652-nucleotide long non-coding RNA. RefSeq annotates it as predicted gene, 30515. The record is from RefSeq and is a predicted model, not a curated record. The transcript has 5 exons. Lineage: Eukaryota; Metazoa; Chordata; Mammalia; Rodentia; Muridae.